CCUACGGGGUGCAGCAGUGGGGAAUAUUGGACAAUGGGCGAAAGCCUGAUCCAGCCAUGCCGCGUGUGUGAAGAAGGCCUUCGGGUUGUAAAGCACUUUCAGUGGGGAAGAAAGCCUUGGGGCUAAUACCCUCGAGGAAGGACAUCACCCACAGAAGAAGCACCGGCUAACUCCGUGCCAGCAGCCGCGGUAAUACGGAGGGUGCGAGCGUUAAUCGGAAUUACUGGGCGUAAAGCGCGCGUAGGCGGUCUGAUAAGCCGGUUGUGAAAGCCCCGGGCUCAACCUGGGAACGGCAUCCGGAACUGUCAGGCUAGAGUGCAGGAGAGGAAGGUAGAAUUCCCGGUGUAGCGGUGAAAUGCGUAGAGAUCGGGAGGAAUACCAGUGGCGAAGGCGGCCUUCUGGACUGACACUGACGCUGAGGUGCGAAAGCGUGGGUAGCAAACAGGAUUAGAUACCCGAGUAGUU
RNAcentral lists this ribosomal RNA (465 nucleotides) under Vreelandella stevensii. RNAcentral describes it as "partial 16S ribosomal RNA". It matches the Rfam family "Bacterial small subunit ribosomal RNA", at positions 338 to 795 of the family's 1533-position model. Lineage: Bacteria; Pseudomonadati; Pseudomonadota; Gammaproteobacteria; Oceanospirillales; Halomonadaceae. The record is from RNAcentral.